Molecule: long non-coding RNA, 1061 nt
Filed under: Gossypium barbadense (sea-island cotton)
Lineage: Eukaryota; Viridiplantae; Streptophyta; Magnoliopsida; Malvales; Malvaceae
Description: long non-coding RNA (GBAR_LNC018601)
Source: RNAcentral
AGUCAUGUGGAGAGAUUUGAGGAGUAAAAAUAGGAGAAAUUAAGAACAUGUUUGGUUGGGUGUAUUGGAUUAGCCAAUACACCCCUAAUCCGUGGGCCCCACUUAAGCCCCUCUUAAGCAGGUGUUUGGUUCAAUGUAUUGCCUAAUACACCCCUAAUACGUUACGCUCCUAAUCCCGAAAUUCUCUGAUUUCUAAUCCCUGGCUUCUCCUCAGUUUACAUCCGUUUUAUUUUUCACGCCCUAAUUUGCCCUCUGUUUCCUGGGUCUGUCUCUCUUUAUCUCCUUCAUUGCUUGCUUCGCCUUCGGCCAGUAGCCCCAAUUUUUUGUCGAGCAUGCCAUAGAGAAAGGCAAGAAGAGAGCUACUUCUGUUUUUCUUUCUUUGUUUUCUGUAACAGACCCAGAAGUUUUAACCCAGAAGCCCCAAAUUCUUCUCCUUUCUUUCUUUGUUUUCUGUAACAGACCCAGAAGCUUUAGAUUGACGAGGUUGUCGGAAGCUGAAGAUGCAACAACUCCCUCUCAAGCUUUAACCGAAGAAGGCAGAGAGUUACCUCCAGGGAUUUAAAUAGCGGUCCGUUACCGAAAUAGCGGCCGUUAUAUAGCGGUAACGGCACCGUCCGAAACCGUUACUGCCGAAACCCGCUAUACCCGCAAUACACAAUAAGUAAUGUAAAAUUCACGACCGCGAUACCCGCAGUGACCGCAAUAGCGUCCGUUAUGUCCGCGACCGCGACAAACGCGACGCGACCGAAAACGCGACCGCGACCGCAAUUUAAAUCCCUGGUUACCUCUUCCUCUUCUCUCUAUCUGAUGAGGGCAUUUUCCCGCCAAUGCAAUCCCGCCACACCAUGCUCUCUGCUCAAUCUUUUGAUGUCGUUUAGUGAAAAAGAGAAACAUUUCCACCAUUUAGGUUUAAGUAAUUCCUCACUUAAUUGGAGUCGCCAUCUUUUGAUGCAGGUAAACAUUUUAAUUUGAUUAACUAAAUUUCCCAAAGCCAAAUUUAUGAGAAUUUAAACGAGGGAGGAAAGUUAUGGAAUUUCUUAUUUUUAUAUCGCAGAGGUCUC